CGGUCACGUUCGUUGCAUUCAUUUAAAUAUAAUAUUAUCAUAUAUUAUAAAAGGUUCACAAUCCUUAAAAAGGCAGAACACUUAAAAUAAUAUAAUGAAUAAUAUUAUUUAAUAUUAUAUGAAACGCAAUUAAGCAGACAGAUCACUCCACGAACUAAGAACGGCCAUGCACCACCUAUCAUAUAAUCAUGAAAGGACUAUCAUAUUUGUACUAAUAUAAUAUAAAAUUAUAUUAGUGAUCACCUGUCAAUCCUCAAUAUGUCUGGACCUGGUAAGAUUUCCCGCGUUGGGUCAAAUUAAGCCACAUGCUCCACGCGUUCUUGUGGUGCCCUU
RNAcentral lists this ribosomal RNA (333 nucleotides) under Foraminifera environmental sample. RNAcentral describes it as "partial small subunit ribosomal RNA". Lineage: Eukaryota; Foraminifera. The record is from RNAcentral.